UGGCAGGAGCCGUCCUCACUCCCUCUAUUGCCUCUCCAGACCCAGACUUCACCCUCAGGUCACCCUCACCUGGACUUUGGGGUGCCCCACACCCCGCCCCAGGCCCUGGCCUCUGGAAUAUUUGGAAACUUGAACUGGGCCAGAGGCUUAAGCUCACAUCUGUCUGGAGCCUCAACUUUCUCCUCUGUAAAAUGGGCUAACACUGAAAGAACCUUGCAGAAUCUCAGCAACGUCACAGAGGACAUUGUUAGCACAGCCAGCGGGCUCCUGCUGGGCUGAGUUUGUGGGUAAUCCAAGCCUCGGCAGGUACAGUUCCUCCCUCAGGGCCCAGGACACAGUGAGCAUACAAUAGACAUUAGCUGCUGUGGUGUCUUGAUUUCAAGCCCAGUGCAGAUGCAUCUGACUUACGAAACUUCAGUGACACCUGCUCUGUGCCAGACACUGAAGAUGGAGCAGUGAACAGCACUGACCCAGCCUGUCCUCCUGUUGCCUGCAGGCCAGAAGCAAGGUCUCGCUGUGUUACCCUGGCUGGAGUGCAGUGGCUACUUACAGGCAUGAUCAUAGCAUACUGCAGCCUCGAACUCCUGGACUAGAGCAGUUCUCCUGCCUCAGCCUCCAGAGCAGCUGGGACUGCAGACACGCACCACAGAGCCCAGCCUGAGUCAUUUUGAUUCUGUAACUGGCUUCCUCUCGGCGGGCAGGCUCACACCCUCCACCCCCAGCUGGAGAUGGAAGGAGGAUGCUCACCGCCCAUUCCUCAUGCAGGCCAUCGAUGGAAAUGUCAGACAGUGCGAGUCCACGCCUGAACACUUCUGGGGUCCGCUCUGGGACUGACACUGGCAGAUCCAUCGAUGCCGUUCCAUUGUUUGCUGACUUUCAUUGAUUCUAUGAGAAGUCUGCAGUCUUUUGCAGCGUUGUUUUCCUAUGUAUAAUUGUCUCCUCCCACCCCACUCACCCCAGCUGCUUUCCACAUUCUCUCUCUUUGAUUUUCAGCAGUCUGCCCAUGAUGUGCCUAAAUAGGACUUUCUUUGCAUUCAUCUUGGCUGGGGCUCACUGAACUUUCUGAAUCUGUAGAUUAAUUUUCUUUUUUCAAUAAACCUUGGAAUAUUUUCAGCAUAA
Molecule: long non-coding RNA, 1119 nt
Organism: Homo sapiens (human)
Lineage: Eukaryota; Metazoa; Chordata; Mammalia; Primates; Hominidae
Product: long intergenic non-protein coding RNA 963
Source: Ensembl